RNAcentral lists this ribosomal RNA (586 nucleotides) under Enterococcus faecium. RNAcentral describes it as "bacterial SSU rRNA". It matches the Rfam family "Bacterial small subunit ribosomal RNA", at positions 839 to 1427 of the family's 1533-position model. The record is from RNAcentral. Lineage: Bacteria; Bacillati; Bacillota; Bacilli; Lactobacillales; Enterococcaceae.
CUCCGUGCCGCCGCUAACGCAUUAAGUAUUCCGCCUGGGGAGUACGGUCGCAAGAUUAAAACUCAAAGGAAUUGACGGGGACCCGCACAAGUAGCGGAGCAUGUGGUUUAAUUCGAAGCAACGCGAAGAACCUUACCUACACUUGACAUCCCUUGCAUUACUCUUAAUCGAGGAAAUCCCUUCGGGGACAAGGUGACAGGUGGUGCAUGGUUGUCGUCAGCUCGUGUCGUGAGAUGUUGGGUUAAGUCCCGCAACGAGCGCAACCCUUGUCGUUAGUUACUACCAUUAAGUUGAGGACUCUAGCGAGACUGCCUGGGUUAACCAGGAGGAAGGUGGGGAUGACGUCAAAUCAUCAUGCCCCUUAUGUGUAGGGCUACACACGUGCUACAAUGGCUGGUACAGAGAGAUGCAAUACCGCGAGGUGGAGCCAAACUUAAAAAACAGUCUCAGUUCGGAUUGUAGGCUGAAACUCGCCUACAUGAAGCUGGAGUUACUAGUAAUCGCGAAUCAGAAUGUCGCGGUGAAUACGUUCCCGGGUCUUGUACACACCGCCCGUCACACCAUGAGAGUUGGCAAUACCCGAAGU